Molecule: long non-coding RNA, 398 nt
Filed under: Rattus norvegicus (Norway rat)
Lineage: Eukaryota; Metazoa; Chordata; Mammalia; Rodentia; Muridae
Description: long non-coding RNA NONRATT020728
Source: RNAcentral
ACACGCCCUGGGCAGAUGGAACCGAGUGUGAGCCUGGAAAGCACUGCAAGUUUGGAUUCUGUGUUCCCAAAGAAAUGGAGGGCCCUGCAAUUGAUGGAUCCUGGGGAAGUUGGAGUCACUUUGGGGCCUGCUCAAGAACAUGUGGAGGAGGCAUCAGAACAGCCAUCAGAGAGUGCAACAGACCAGAGCCAAAAAAUGGUGGGAGGUACUGUGUAGGGAGGAGAAUGAAGUUCAAAUCCUGCAACACCGAGCCCUGCCCGAAGCACAAGCGAGACUUCCGUGAGGAGCAGUGUGCUUACUUUGACGGCAAGCACUUCAACAUCAAUGGUCUGCUGCCCAGUGUACGCUGGGUCCCUAAGUACAGUGGAAUUUUGAUGAAGGACCGAUGCAAGUUGUUC